This 254-nucleotide ribosomal RNA is filed under the name uncultured bacterium. RNAcentral describes it as "partial 16S ribosomal RNA". It matches the Rfam family "Bacterial small subunit ribosomal RNA", at positions 524 to 776 of the family's 1533-position model. The record is from RNAcentral.
UACGUAGGGGGCUAGCGUUGUCCGGGAUCAUUGGGCGUAAAGAGCGUGUAGGCGGCCCGGUAAGUCCGCUGUGAAAGUCGGGGGCUCAACCCUCGAAAGCCGGUGGAUACUGUCGGGCUAGAGUGCGGAAGAGGCGAGUGGAAUUCCUGGUGUAGCGGUGAAAUGCGCAGAUAUUGGGAAGAACACCUGAGGCGAAGGCGGGUUGCUGGGCCGACACUGACGCUGAGUGCGCGAAAGCCAGGGGAGCGAACGGG